RNAcentral lists this ribosomal RNA (480 nucleotides) under uncultured Leptotrichia sp. Its description in RNAcentral is "bacterial SSU rRNA". It matches the Rfam family "Bacterial small subunit ribosomal RNA", at positions 11 to 507 of the family's 1533-position model. The record is from RNAcentral. Lineage: Bacteria; Fusobacteriati; Fusobacteriota; Fusobacteriia; Fusobacteriales; Leptotrichiaceae.
GUUUGAUCCUGGCUCAGGAUGAACGCUGACAGAAUGCUUAACACAUGCAAGUCUUUGGCGAAUCUGUGCUUGCACAGCCAAGCCAAGGCGGACGGGUGAGUAACGCGUAAAGAACUUGCCCUGCAGACAGGGAUAACAGACGGAAACGACUGAUAAUACCUGAUACAAUUGCCAGCACGCAUGUGCCCGGCAAUGAAAAGUAAUGCUGCAGGAGAGCUUUGCGUCCUAUUAGCUUGUUGGUGAGGUAACGGCUCACCAAGGCGAUGAUAGGUAGCCGGCCUGAGAGGGUGAACGGCCACAAGGGGACUGAGAUACGGCCCUUACUCCUACGGGAGGCAGCAGUGGGGAAUAUUGGACAAUGGGGGCAACCCUGAUCCAGCAAUUCUGUGUGCACGAAGAAGGUUUUCGGAUUGUAAAGUGCUUUCAGCAGGGAAGAAGAAAGUGACGGUACUUGCAGAAGAAGCGACGGCUAAAUACGUG